UACGUAGGGCGCAAGCGUUGUCCGGAAUUAUUGGGCGUAAAGAGCUCGUAGGCGGUCUGUCGCGUCGGAUGUGAAAACCCAGGGCUCAACCCUGGGCCUGCAUUCGAUACGGGCAGACUAGAGUACGGCAGGGGAGACUGGAAUUCCUGGUGUAGCGGUGAAAUGCGCAGAUAUCAGGAAGAACACCAAUGGCGAAAGCAGCUCUCUGGGACGGUACUGACGCUGAGACGCGAAAGCGUGGGGAGCGAACAGG
This 253-nucleotide ribosomal RNA is filed under the name uncultured bacterium. RNAcentral's name for it is "partial 16S ribosomal RNA". It matches the Rfam family "Bacterial small subunit ribosomal RNA", at positions 524 to 776 of the family's 1533-position model. The record is from RNAcentral.